This 5125-nucleotide long non-coding RNA is filed under the name Pan paniscus (pygmy chimpanzee). RNAcentral's name for it is "lncRNA (ENSPPAG00000044300.1)". The record is from RNAcentral. Lineage: Eukaryota; Metazoa; Chordata; Mammalia; Primates; Hominidae.
GUCAGCUUCUGCAGGGGGUUCUUCUUACCCUGAGUGUAUGGAGAGUUGAUGACCCCUAGUGGGAGCUGAGAAACCACAUAGCCGCCUGCAACAAGUAAAUGCUGAUAUUUGCAUUGGAGAUGUGGGGAGUUAACACUCUCCACAGGAGAUCUGUUCUUUUGCUUACAGCUUCUUACUUAGGCAACUGAGAAUUGAAGUUUUUGAAAAAUCAAAAAAGAAAUUUAACUUAUUAUGUGAGGUAGGGACAAAGGAAAGUCACCAAGUUCAGGAAGGGCAUAGCCCAGCCUUGCUGUAAGAGGGUGACUUCUGUGCCUGACCAUAGGCUAACACUGGUGACCACGGCCACCUGGGGCAGAGCUGUGAACCCAGAGAAGCAGCUGAACAGGCCAGCAGGCAACCUGCCAUGGGGUCCUGCUCCAAGAACCGGUCCUUCUUCUGGAUGACUGGGCUCCUGGUAUUCAUCAGCCUCCUCCUCAGUGUCUGCAGAACUGCAGCCAACACUUCUGGAGCACAUGGCUCUGCAGGGAAGGAUUCUGGAGCCCCCAUUCAUCUGAAGGGCAUCCGAGGAGGUUCUGUCUUGUUUAAUGCGAUCGAGAAGCUCAGAGUAGAUGUAGGCACCGAGUUGGAGGAGGUUCUAUGGGCUUUGGGCGCUCUGACAAAUCAUACACAGUUGCUGCGAGUCCGCAGGGGGGCCGACUCUCCAACCUGGUUGAAACUCCAGGACAAGUUCAAGCAGAGGGUCCAUGUACCCAGCAUGUCAUCCCUGAGGAUUGAGAACCUGGCCCCUGAAGACAGUGGGCAGUACUUUGCCAACAUCACCUCUACUAAGGGAGAGGGGAUUUUCCAGGUUUUCUACCUCACUGUCUAUGAGCCUGUGCCUCACCCUGAGUUCCUGGCAAAGUCACUGUCUAUCACACCAGACCUGUGUAACGUCACCCUGGAGUGUAGGGCUCCAGGGGCCACAGAAGACCUGAAUGUGACUUGGGAGAGCAAGGGCCUCCUCAGAGAGCUGGAGCAGAGAGAAACACCAGGACCAGCCCCCAACCCCUGGACACUGGCUGUGAACCUGCCCCUGUGCCAGUGCAACACCCACCUCACCUGUGUGGUCAGCAACCAGGUGGAUCAGAAAGCUGCAAUCUUAGACCUUAGGAAAGUCUGUGUCCAAGAAACAGGUUCACACAACAUGGUUAGACUGCUCCCAGGCAUCCUAGGGGCUGUUGUGGGUAUGCUGUUGGUCCUGGGAACUGGGCUGUAUCUUUUGAAGACAUGUGGGAAGAAGAAGAAGAAGAUGAUGAAUAUAGGAAGAGGCAGAGAAUUGCAGGAGAAUCAUGGGGUCGAUGAUGGUGUCAACCAAUAUGAAGAUCUCAGACAGCAAGUGUUUCCGAAGGGCAAGGACAAGGUAAGGGCUGGGGCACUGGCCACUCUGGCAACUCCCAGGUCUCUCUGUCCAGACUUGGGCUUCUAAUUCCAGGACCUGCCAUUUCUGACCACACCGCCUGUUUAUCUGUAUCUGGACAAUCAACAGCAUUUACUAAGAAAUUUGCAUCUGGGUGUGAUGUAGUGCUGGGCACUUUAGAGGAAUUCAUGAGCUGUGCAUGGCAGUGGGUAUUGGCCCUGUGGGUCCCUCCACAUCGUUUCUAUCCCUCAGCUGAUCCAACAACCCUCUGUCUUGUAUUCCAGGGCAUCGGUGAACAAUAUCUGGAAAAAAGGGAGUCUCUCACUCCUAUCUACAGUGAGGUUCAUUAUCAUUGUCCAGGCCAGGCCAUUAAGAUCAUUCGAUUGGAGGAAGCAACAGGAUCUGGCACUCCCAGGACACCUGUACUCUGAGCCUGAAGCCUGCAGAUCCCCGCCUUUCCCAGUGCUGGUUCAGUUUCCGCUGCCCCUAGUCUGUGUUACUCUGAUCUCAUAGCUACAGUUCUACAGUGUACCCAUGGCCUGUUCGCAUUCUGUGACACCUCCCAAAGAUGCACUUACACUUGGGCAAAGAUUCUUCCCUUGUCAUUGACAUUGCUCCUGACCCCUCUCUUUCAGAAGCCUUCCCAAGGGGACCCUGUCUGAUUGCACAGGUGGCAAAUCCCCACCACCUCUGCCAUGUCACUUGUGUGUGUAAUUCUGAGGACACAAGCCCAGACAUGGGAACUGUGCAGAGGUGUUGACUGUGCUGCAGAGGAGGGACAUAGACCUGGCUUCUGGAUGCUGAGUUGGAGGAUAUCGUGGGUGGGUAGAAGCCCACAAAGGAACACGCUGAGGCUUCCUUUGCAGAUUUUGUGUAGGGCUCCCUUGCGGGUAUCAGGCAGUGCGUGUGUGCAUGCAGGUUGGUGGUGGAGGGGGGUGUCUAGUGCAUAUUAUACAACUGAACCAAAGCCACCUUUCUUUUCUUCUGUGCUAAUCUUAACUUAAUCUUCAGCCUCAGCCUGUGGAUCCAAACUCAACUUCCUGUAGAGUGGAAAGAGAAAUUUUUAUCAUCUCAAAACCUUCCUAGCCUCAGUGUCUCAGAGAAUGACCCUAAGAGGCCACAGUUGGAGGCUGUCUUAGGAACACAGCCUCAGCUCUUUCCUUGGCCUAGUAUAAGGCACUUGGCUGUAAGAACAGAAGUGUGAUAUCCUUCCACACUCACUUGAUGAGGGCUACUUGGGCUCUGAUGGGUGAAGCUGUUGAGAAGGUCUGACUCAGCCCUCUCCAACCUCUUCUUAUUCUGACCCUUAAUACCCCAGUAGCCAUGCUGGCCCCAAACCCUUGGUCAUCCACUUCUUUGCUCACUUGCAUCUCUCUGCCUGACAUGAAAGUUCCUUCUCCCUGUUCCUCACCCUCACUCCCGCCUGUUGAAAUACUACUGUGCUGCUCAAAGCUCUUCCCAAGAUGCUUGUUCCAUGGAGCUCUCUGGAUCUUAAAGGUUUAGACAUGAUCUCUCCCACAACUGACUUUUCUGAACACCUUGGACACUAUGUACGGUCCCUGCCAGUUUGUCCUAGGAUGGUCAUGAGUCUUCCUGCAGGACUAACCUGGGCUCUCUCAGGUGGAUGUGGGGCUGUGGGGUAAUAGGGCUGAGGAGACAAGUACUUAUUGGUGCAAAUGGUCUGGGCCACCUUGUUCCCAACCCAUGGGGUCAGCAGAGGGAGAUGCAGCACAGGGGCUACUGACAAACUCUCUGGUGUGGCUCUACCUGGAAACAGGGAUGGACAUAAUGACCUCCCUUGACUAUGCGUGGCCUGAGGUCCUAAUUGGAGACUUCCUUACUCCCUCAUCCACCUCUUAUUGCGAACCUGGCCAUUCUUCCAUCAUGGUAUGUGGGUGUUUCUUUCCUCCUGAGGGGUCCUCAGCUUCUUGCAGCCUCUGCCUCUUAUUUGAGUCCCAGCUUUUAUGCAGAGAUGAGCUAACUCUAGUACCAUGAGCUGCUGUGGCAUGUCUGGUGGCCUAGAUCCUUGGGCCCCUUAGUUUCCCUCAUGGCUCAGGUGAGCUCAUUUCCUCAUUGCCACCCACAGAAAACAAAGAUCUGAACAGAGUCCCUGCUAAGAGAUGGAGCACUAGAAAAUAGUGCUAGGUGCCUGCUGAAUGGUGGGUGGGUGAGGCAAGAGGGAGAGGAUCCAUAGCAGGGCUUCAUUUCUGCCAUCUUCCCCUUUAGACUGAGCUGAAGGCCGAGGGUGUGCUGGUCUCUUCACUGGCUUCCCAGGUGACUGGACAUUACUGGGUAUCAGUGCACAUUAACCCUGGGGCAGCAUAAGAUGUGAUCACCCAACUGACGUUCCCACUGCACCAAAGGCAACAAAAAACCAAACCAAACAAACCAAAAAGAGGAACAAGGCUUUUGAGGCUGUUUUGAACCAGUUUUUGUCCCAGGCACUUUGCACAUAUUAUUCUUUUUAAUUCUUCUUUAAAUACAUUUUUAAUUUUAAAAUACUAAAUGUUUUACUCUUCUUGUUUAUGAUUUCUUCCAAUGAUAUCAAACUUAAAAGUCCUCUGCAUUCAAAGGACCCAAUAAGUUUUUAUUUAUAUUUUCUUCUGUUGAAAACAUUACAUUAUAAAUACACAUUUUACUCUGAUAUUCCUUUUAAUUGUUAUAAGAACCUACUAUAGUUGGUAUAGGUCAACAGUAUUCAAAACUAGUUGGUGGCAGAGCAAAGCCUUAGAUCCAACACUGGAUGAUUCCAAAGCUCCUUAUCUUUUCCCCUCAUGACAACGGUCACUGAAGACCCUUGCUAUGGUUUGGAUGUUUCCUGUUGGAACUUAAUCCCCAAUGCAAAAGCAUGAAGAAGAGCCGGCUUUUAGGAGGUAAUUAGGUCCCAAGAAUGGAAUUGGUACUCUUAAAAUGGCUUGAGGACAGUGUCACCCCUUUUGCCCUUCUGUCACUUCAACCAUGUGAGGGCACAGUGUUCCUCCUUCCACCAUGUGAGAAUACAGUGUUCCCCACUUCCACCAUGUGAGGACACAGUGUUCCUGCCUUGGAUCAUGUGAAGACAUUGUGCUUCCCCCUUCCACCAUAUAAGGACAUGAUGUUCCUGCCUUUCACCAGGUGAGGACACAGUGUUGCUCCCUUCCACCAUGUGAGAACAUAGUCUACCCCCUUUCUCCAUAUGAGGACACGGUGUUCCCCACUUCCAACAUAUGAGGACAUGGUGUUUCUCCUUCCAUUAUGUAAGGACAUAGUGUUCCUUGCUUCCACUACGUAAUGACACAGUAUUGCCCCUUCCACCAUGUGAGGACACAGUAUUGCCCCUUCCACCAUGUGAGAACAUGGUGUUCCUGCUUUCCAUCAUGUGAGGACACAGUAUUGCCCCUUCCACCAUGUGAGGACACAGUGUUGCCUGCUUCCAUAAUGUGAGGACAUGGUGUUCCCACCUUCCAUCAUGUGCGGACAUACUGUUCUCCCCUUUCACCACUGAGUGCAGUGUUUCCCUCUCUGCUAUGUGAUGAUAUCACAAUAAGAUGCCAUCUAUGGAGCUGAAGGUGAGAUGAAGAGACCCUGAAUCUGCCUUACCAGAUCCUGAAUCUGCCUUACCAGAUCCUGAAUCUACUGGUGCCUUGAUAUUAGACUUCUCAGCCUCCAGACUGUGAGAAAUAAAUUUCUAUUAUAUACAAAUUGCCCAGUGAUUUAUACAUCUAAGGUAUUUUAUUAUAGUAGCCAAAC